RNAcentral lists this ribosomal RNA (361 nucleotides) under uncultured bacterium. RNAcentral describes it as "bacterial SSU rRNA". It matches the Rfam family "Bacterial small subunit ribosomal RNA", at positions 28 to 416 of the family's 1533-position model. The record is from RNAcentral.
AACGAACGCUGGCGGCAUGCCUAACACAUGCAAGUCGAGCGCCCGUAGCAAUACGGGAGCGGCGCACGGGUGAGUAGCGCGUGGGAACCUGCCCAGAGGUUCGGGACAACCGCGGGAAACUGCGGCUGAUACCGGAUGAUGCCUGAGGGCCAAAGAUUUAUCGCCUUUGGAGGGGCCCGCGUCGGAUUAGGUAGUUGGUGAGGUAACGGCUCACCAAGCCUGUGAUCCGUAGCUGGUCUGAGAGGAUGAUCAGCCACACUGGGACUGAGACACGGCCCAGACUCCUACGGGAGGCAGCAGUGGGGAGUAUUGGACAAUGGGGCAACCCUGAUCCAGCAAUGCCGCGUGGGUGAUGAAGGCC